RNAcentral lists this long non-coding RNA (785 nucleotides) under Carica papaya (papaya). RNAcentral's name for it is "long non-coding RNA (CPAP_LNC008776)". The record is from RNAcentral. Lineage: Eukaryota; Viridiplantae; Streptophyta; Magnoliopsida; Brassicales; Caricaceae.
AUUAGUUAAUUACAACACUAGGUACUUUAUUUUUCAUGUUAUUACACUCAUCAUUAUGAUAGUUACAGUAGCUAGCUAGUUAGCUUGUGUAUUGUACACAAGGGGACAUAUAACAUAGAUAUGCAUAUGAAAUGGAAGUUUACCUUAGUAAUGGUAAGGAGGAGGGGGAGAUGAAUAGGAGUCGUGGUGAACUGGUGGUGGUGGAGACUUGUACUUGUAAACGGGAGGAGGGGGAGGAGGAGACUUGUACUUGUAAGGCUUCUUUGGAGGUGGAGGAGGAGACUUGUACUUAUAAACUGGGGUAGGAGGGGGAGGAGACUUGUACUUGUAGGGCUUCUUUGGAGGGGGAGGAGGAGGAGACUUGUAAACAGGAGGAGGAGGAGAUUUGUAGACAGGAGGUGGAGGAGAAUGGUACUUGUAGGGUUUCUUGGGUGGUGGUGGUGGCGAUUUAUAGUGAUAGGGAGGAUGAUUAGGUGCUGGAUAUUUCUUAGGAGGUGGUGGUGGUGACUUGUAGUGGUAUGGAGGAGGUGGUGGUGAUGAGUAAACCGGUGGAGGGGGCGGUGGUGAGUAAACUGGUGGCGGAGGAGAAUAAACAGGAGGAGGAGGUGGAGGCGAGUAAACCGGGGGAGGAGGUGGCGGAGAUUUAUACUUGUAGGGAGGUGGUGGGGAGGAGUAAUGGUGGAAGUUGGCAGUGCAUUGUGAAGGAAAUGUAAGAGAGAGUGCUACCACUAAAAGAUAAGUGGAAAACACUAAGGCCUUUGAAGACCCCAUUUUCUUUGCCUGUG